Molecule: ribosomal RNA, 253 nt
Filed under: uncultured Eubacteriales bacterium
Lineage: Bacteria; Bacillati; Bacillota; Clostridia; Eubacteriales
Description: uncultured Clostridiales bacterium partial 16S ribosomal RNA
Rfam family: Bacterial small subunit ribosomal RNA
Source: RNAcentral
UACGUAGGGGGCAAGCGUUAUCCGGAAUCACUGGGUGUAAAGGGAGCGUAGACGGCUGAGCAAGCCUGAAGUGAAAGGCGGGGGCCCAACCCCGGAACUGCUCUGGAAACUGUGAAGCUGGAGUGCAGGAGAGGUAAGCGGAAUUCCUGGUGUAGCGGUGAAAUGCGUAGAUAUUAGGAGGAACACCAGUGGCGAAGGCGGCUUACUGGACUGUAACUGACGUUGAGGCUCGAAAGCGUGGGGAGCAAACAGG